Molecule: ribosomal RNA, 500 nt
Filed under: Salmonella enterica subsp. enterica serovar Infantis
Lineage: Bacteria; Pseudomonadati; Pseudomonadota; Gammaproteobacteria; Enterobacterales; Enterobacteriaceae
Also listed under: 1 other name
Description: partial 23S ribosomal RNA
Rfam family: Bacterial large subunit ribosomal RNA
Source: RNAcentral
UAUCAUUAACUGAAUCCAUAGGUUAAUGAGGCGAACCGGGGGAACUGAAACAUCUAAGUACCCCGAGGAAAAGAAAUCAACCGAGAUUCCCCCAGUAGCGGCGAGCGAACGGGGAGGAGCCCAGAGCCUGAAUCAGCAUGUGUGUUAGUGGAAGCGUCUGGAAAGGCGCGCGAUACAGGGUGACAGCCCCGUACACAAAAGCGCAUGUGCUGUGAGCUCGAUGAGUAGGGCGGGACACGUGGUAUCCUGUCUGAAUAUGGGGGGACCAUCCUCCAAGGCUAAAUACUCCUGACUGACCGAUAGUGAACCAGUACCGUGAGGGAAAGGCGAAAAGAACCCCGGCGAGGGGAGUGAAAAAGAACCUGAAACCGUGUACGUACAAGCAGUGGGAGCACAGGUUUACCUGUGUGACUGCGUACCUUUUGUAUAAUGGGUCAGCGACUUAUAUUCUGUAGCAAGGUUAACCGAAUAGGGGAGCCGGAGGGAAACCGAGUCUUAAU